CCGUGCUAGACGGCGGAGUAGCGGUCCGUUGUAACCCGAAACCCGCUCUAGCGGGGUUGAAGUCCCGUUCGAGGUUGUGCGUUGAUCGCCCGACAGCGGGCAGCGCAGCGUUGAAGGCCUGGUCCUGCGCGGCGACGACCUUCGAACCCUGUCAGGUCCGGAAGGAAGCAGCAGUAAGGAGUGCUCGUCGGGUGCCGCAGGGGUGCCGGGCCAGAGCCAGCGGGCUCGCGGCUGCGGCGGCGCGCCGAUCGACAACGGGUGCACGG
Molecule: signal recognition particle RNA, 266 nt
Filed under: Chloroflexota bacterium
Lineage: Bacteria; Bacillati; Chloroflexota
Description: Chloroflexi bacterium signal recognition particle sRNA large type
Rfam family: Bacterial large signal recognition particle RNA
About the family: The signal recognition particle (SRP) is a universally conserved ribonucleoprotein involved in the co-translational targeting of proteins to membranes. Archaeal SRP consists of a 7S RNA and homologues of the eukaryotic SRP19 and SRP54 proteins.
Source: RNAcentral